GCAGGGGUUUGGAUGACACCUGUAAUUGUUGCUAAGCUGUGUGGAAUCCUCUCCAACCUCAAGAUUCCACUUCAGGAGGUCCAGGGUGGUGAUGCCCAUCUGCUACCACACUUGGUAACAUCCAGAGAAGCUCCAUGUGUCCAAAUGUCCUAGCCGCGGACACUCGGUUGGCCGCUUGGCUGGCGAACACUUACAUCUUGGAGCUUCCAGUGCAGCCCCACCUGGAUCCCACCCCUCUAAUCUGAAGACCCCAGUAAUGUCUAAGGAGAGAAAUAAAGACGACUUUUUUUUUUUUUUUAAUCCCUAUCCCAACUGGAAUGGACUGAGAGAAGGAAACCUUGACCCUUGCUGCUCCGUCAGCUGUUGGGAGGCCCCAUGCUCAGGACUGGGAGCAUCGGGGCAGGGCAGUGGCAGCAUUCUUCUCUUCACACCAACUAAAACUUACACCAUCAAAGGCAGUAAUUGCUGGGCACCUGGACUCCUUCUGCCUCAUGACAAAGGAAUGUGCACAGG
Leopardus geoffroyi (Geoffroy's cat) is the source of this 513-nucleotide long non-coding RNA. RefSeq lists it as uncharacterized. The record is from RefSeq and is a predicted model, not a curated record. The transcript has 4 exons. Lineage: Eukaryota; Metazoa; Chordata; Mammalia; Carnivora; Felidae.